UUGUUUAGAGAGAUGGAAACUUAUCAGAAGGACUUCUUCUCAGACGUGUGCGGUCAAUGUGUCCAAGAAACAAGAUUUAAGGAAAGCCAGUUUCUUGAUGCCAGAAGAGAGGAGAUGAUCAGAAUAGAGGAUGGAGCCAAUACUCGCUGAAACAUAAUAAUACAGCUUACAGUUGGCCAAGCCCUGAGGUAAUAUAUGCUUGGGCGUAUGACUCUAUACUUUGAGAAACUGAAUAUAUGUAGAAUCAUUUGAGGUAAAUAGCUCUGUAUAUCUUGAAUCUUCUCGACUCUCACAUUACUUAGGUACAUGUAUUUUUACCUGUACAAUGAAUAGAACCAUAAAGUAUAGAGAUCUGAUUGCUUUUUUUUU
Molecule: non-coding RNA, 369 nt
Organism: Camelina sativa (false flax)
Lineage: Eukaryota; Viridiplantae; Streptophyta; Magnoliopsida; Brassicales; Brassicaceae
Source: RefSeq, a predicted model, not a curated record